CGGGUGAGUAACACGUAGGUAAUGUACCUUUGGGUGGGGAAUAACUUAGGGAAACUUAAGCUAAUACCGCAUAAUGCAGCGGCUCCUUAUGGAGACAGUUGUUAAAGAUUUAUCGCCUAAAGAGCAGCCUGCGGCAGAUUAGCUAGUUGGUAAGGUAAUGGCUUACCAAGGCUACGAUCUGUAUCCGACCUGAGAGGGUGGUCGGACACACUGACACUGAAUAACGGGUCAG
This 232-nucleotide ribosomal RNA is filed under the name uncultured bacterium. Its description in RNAcentral is "partial 16S ribosomal RNA". It matches the Rfam family "Bacterial small subunit ribosomal RNA", at positions 103 to 334 of the family's 1533-position model. The record is from RNAcentral.